ACAUUCUAAAUUUGGGAC
RNAcentral lists this small nuclear RNA (18 nucleotides) under Arabidopsis thaliana (thale cress). RNAcentral describes it as "snRNA_05077". The record is from RNAcentral. Lineage: Eukaryota; Viridiplantae; Streptophyta; Magnoliopsida; Brassicales; Brassicaceae.